CGUUAAUUGGUAAUACACUUCUCUAUAAUUAUUCAUUUUGGAUGCGUUAUAUUUGAUCUUCAGAAAGGCUCUGGUGGUGCAGAAACAUUAAUUGUUCUGUUAACCUUCACAUGUUCGCAUUAAAAUUGUUUUACACAACAUUUUAAAGAAGUGCAAGUGCUCAAAUGUUUUGGAAUAUUUUUCUAUAUUUGUGCUGGUCGGUGCUCAAGCAAAUAAUACUGGCAGAUAAGGUAGAAUG
Molecule: non-coding RNA, 238 nt
Organism: Pelobates cultripes (western spadefoot toad)
Lineage: Eukaryota; Metazoa; Chordata; Amphibia; Anura; Pelobatidae
Source: the annotation of a GenBank genome assembly